Mycena epipterygia is the source of this 93-nucleotide non-coding RNA. NCBI's taxonomy places the organism in Eukaryota, Fungi, Basidiomycota, Agaricomycetes, Agaricales, Mycenaceae. The record is from the annotation of a GenBank genome assembly.
GACCUAGUAGUGGAUGGCCCGCACCUGCAUUCAGUGACAAGUAUUUGGAAAUCUCUGCUGCAGGAACCCCUGGUUCGACUCCAGGCUAGGUCA